GAUCAUGGCUCAGGACGAACGCUGGCGGCGUGCCUAAUACAUGCAAGUCGAACGGACGAUGGGGCUUGGCCCCAAAGUUAGUGGCGAACGGGUGAGUAACGCGUGAGCAACCUGACUCAAAGAGGGGGACAACAGCUGGAAACGGCUGCUAAUACCGCAUAAGACCACAGCGCGGCAUCGCAAAGGGGUCAAAGAAUUAUCGCUUUGAGAGGGGCUCGCGUCCCAUUAGAUAGUUGGUGAGGUAACGGCCCACCAAGUCCGCGAUGGGUAGCCGAGCUGAGAGGCUGAUCGGCCACACUGGAACUGAGACACGGUCCAGACUCCUACGGGAGGCAGCAGUAGGGAAUAUUGGGCAAUGGGCGCAAGCCUGAACCCCAGCAACGCCGCGUGAGGGAAGAAGGUUUUCGGAUUGUAAACCUCUGUCCUAUGUGACGAAGGAAGUGACGGUAGCAUAGGAGGAAGCCCCGGCUAACUACGUGCCAGCAGCUGC
Molecule: ribosomal RNA, 490 nt
Filed under: uncultured bacterium
Lineage: Bacteria
Description: bacterial SSU rRNA
Rfam family: Bacterial small subunit ribosomal RNA
Source: RNAcentral